Molecule: transfer RNA, 71 nt
Filed under: Gnomoniopsis sp. IMI 355080
Lineage: Eukaryota; Fungi; Ascomycota; Sordariomycetes; Diaporthales; Gnomoniaceae
Description: tRNA-Arg
Rfam family: tRNA
About the family: Transfer RNA (tRNA) molecules are approximately 80 nucleotides in length. Their secondary structure includes four short double-helical elements and three loops (D, anti-codon, and T loops).
Source: RNAcentral
UUCUCAUUAGCUCAAUGGUAGAGCAGUAGUUUCCUAAACUAUUUAUUUUAGUUCAAAUCUAAAAUGGGAAG